AUUUCCAUCACUAUAUUGUGAGUAUAAAUACGUUAGGUACACUCAGCUUUAGACACACCCUAACACAACAAUACACACAUACACACACAGAUACAUUUGGAGUAAAGAUGAGCUGGACUUUUCUUCUCCUGUUUGCGUCUUUACCAUACGUCCACAGCAUCAGUCUGACCUCGUCUCCUGCUCAGGUGAAGCCUCCUGGGGAAUCUGUGAGGUUGUCCUGUCAGAUUUCUGGAUAUUCCCUCACAGACUAUGGAACAGUCUGGAUCCGGCAGCCUCCAGGUAAAGGCUUGGAGUGGAUCGGGAUCAUCUGGGGUGGUGGAAAAAUAGACUCUGGAGCUUCUUUUAAGAGUCGUUUCACAAUAUCCAGAGACACAAGCAGCAACGUGCUGUUCUUAGACAUCAGCAGACUGGAGUCUGGAGACACGGCUGUGUAUUACUGUGCCAAGACUGCCACAGCAGUACAGCUCAGUGUGAGCACUGUACAAAAACAUACACACACACGUGUUAGUGUCAGCUUUCUUUGUGCUCAAUGCACAACCAGCCAGAUUACACUGCUAGUGUAACACAGCUGCUUCGAAAUUAUGUUUUUUUUUUCCUCAUUAAAAAAUGUUUUCUCUGUCUGUAAAAUGCCAAUAUGUAGAGAACAAUUACAUCCAACACACCUACCAGACCACUCUGCUUCUAGAAUUUAUAUGUAAGACUGCAGGGAUGGUUAUGUCA
Non-coding RNA from Astyanax mexicanus (Mexican tetra), 720 nucleotides. Lineage: Eukaryota; Metazoa; Chordata; Actinopteri; Characiformes; Acestrorhamphidae. The record is from the annotation of a RefSeq genome assembly.